Long non-coding RNA from Apus apus (common swift), 2432 nucleotides. RefSeq lists it as uncharacterized. The transcript has 3 exons. The record is from RefSeq and is a predicted model, not a curated record. NCBI's taxonomy places the organism in Eukaryota, Metazoa, Chordata, Aves, Apodiformes, Apodidae.
CAUAUCUUCUCUAAACAUCCCAGCUAGCGUAAAUAUGCUUUACCUUGGGAUGGCAUGAUCUGACCAUGACUUACCAUUCACUUAUGCUCCCUGAAUCCCUCAGGAAUUGCACAUGAUUUGUACAGCCAUGAUUCUGCAGCUCUGAGCAAAGAGUCAGGUAAUAAUGCCGGUUCACUGCAGUGCUCUUGACAGAGCAUAAUGAGACCUUCAGGAGCUGAAGGGCCAUGGAAAGGCCAUUGGGAUGAAGCCAGAGAUGGCUUUUGGUGGGAGGGGAUCUGCCAGCUUCCCUGGUGUGUAUCCUCUCAGAGCACAUGCACUGAAGACAAGAGGUAAAGGCCAGUUACAGUAAAAAGGAAUCAAAGAAGGUAAAAGCAAGCUGUGAGAGACCCCCCGGUGGCCCUGCAGAGACCCCCUGGCAGCCCAGGACAUGCAUGCUGGAGGGAGGAGAUAAUGCAGAUCAGUUCCAGGUACCUCCAUGCCCUUUUGGAGAAGAGGCAGAGACAUCAAUCAUAAAAAGAGCUAUGGCCUGACAGCACGCUGAAGAUCUUCUCCACUGACUGUAGUUGCCAGACCUUCAGGACACCACUGGAUCCUUCAUAUUUCUGCUACCUUCUUGACUUUCCUUUUGUCUUCCUAUCCUAUCUGCAUGUGACAUUGUUGUUAUGUAACUAAUACAUUUUGGCGUGUAUGUGACAUUUGACUUCACCUGUGUCUUAAUUUUGCCACUGGGAUCAUUUUGAAUCUCUCUCAAUCUGAUAAUGGCUCGAGACACAUGCUAAUUAAAGUACUGUCCACACUAUCAUUGCUUUUUACUUUGUAUGGAAUAGAAUAUAUUUCUCUUUGUUAUCAACUUUUUUUUCCACCACAAAAAAAAAAGAAGCUGAGUAUCUCGUUCCCAUGAUGGUCUCAUGUGCCAAGUGCAACUUGCUUCCCAUGCUUUUAUCCUUCAUAUUCAUCUGUAAUGGACAUAGUUAUGUUGUCUUUCUUCUCUUUAGCCCUUUAGAUCACUUGGUACUAGAACCCAACAAAACAAAAGUGUUUCCAACUUUUCACAACUCAAGAGUGUUUGCUAUCAGAAUAUAUAGUUGUCUAUCCAUGCAAAAUGAAAAGUUAUUAUUUUUUCCUUAAAGGUGGCAUUUUUUUAUCUAACAAUGAUCAUAACUUUUGGUGAAACAUAUGUACCUAUUAAAUGGACUUGAUUACUGCAAAGUUUGUUGAGCUUAUGAUGAAAAAAAACCAACACAAAACCAGCCAGAAAAAUUGUUAAAAAUUACUGUGAGUUAAAAACAGGUAAUGGGAAGAGGUGGAGAAAUGAACUGGCAAGAAAGGGAUUUAGUAUUUGUACAUUUCUACCCAGGAUAAGAGGAAGGAUAACAUUUUUUAAUUUUUUAAAUCCUUCUUUCUUCUGGCAUCAACUUUGCCAAACAGGGAAUAAACUUACUUGCUGUAAUGGCAACCUUUUCCUAAAAUUAGUGUUUUUGUGCAGGAAUAGCAGAUUGGCACUCCGUUCUCCAAACUGUGUUCAGGCUUACAAUCAGAAGCUAUACUACGUGGCAGUAGGCAGGAUCCUAGAAAUUUGAUGAUUUUAAAAACUUGCCUUCCAUGCUUCAGCCUGGAAAACAAAUAUGCCUGCAUUUCAGAUAGUCUAUCUUCUACAAAUUAUAAUUAGCCUCAUCUUGGGUUUUUUUCAUUUCCCCCCUUAUAUAUCUUUCCUUUUUCUGCUUCUUUUGGUUUCUCAGUUCUGUUGUGCUUUCCCUUUUGUUUUCUUCAAAGUUUUAUUCCAGGGAAGCUUUUCUCUUCUUAUUUCCUUUGCUUAAUUACUUUUCUCUUCUUUCCUCCUUCUUGUAGGUAGAAAGAGCAGCCUGAGACUGCACUAAGCACAAUCAUGAACUCUAUUUACGUUUCAUUUUCUGUUUUUAUACACCUUUACAUAUAAAGUGUUUACUAGCUUCCAUUUUUCUAUUGUAAUUCUUUGGAUCAAAAUAAUGGUACUGAUUAAGCCACCUUGUUUUCUUCAUAGGCAUGAUUUUUAAGGCACAUGGUUCUCUAGAGAAACAUGACAUAUUAUUGAAAUAUAAUAUAUUAAUAUAAAUAAUAAUAAGAUAUUGUAGAAAACUGUAAUAUUUGCUUUAAAAAAAACCCUUAUAUAAUAAGUAAUACCUAUGAAGACUAGUUAUGGUUGAUAUGUUCCUCUUCUGCUACUUCUGGUGUAUUUCACUAGUACUCUGUCAUUUGGAAAAACAAAGUUUUAGUGUCCUACUGUAACAUAAUAUUGUAUUUAUUACUAUUUACAUAUACAUAAUUCAGCUUUACUACUUUUUUUUUAAGUUAACCAUGUUAUUUGUUGGUAAGAUGUGAAUAGUAUUAUCUCUAGCACUGCAGUAACUCAGUGUUUUCAAUAAAGAGGAAACUUUAACUUUCUUUUUUUCCCA